UCCUCCUGUAGCAUAGUGGUUAGAGCACUCGCCUCAAAAGCGAGAGGAUCCGGGUUCAAUUCCCGGGCGGGGUGAA
Non-coding RNA from Callorhinchus milii (elephant shark), 76 nucleotides. The record is from the annotation of a RefSeq genome assembly. Lineage: Eukaryota; Metazoa; Chordata; Chondrichthyes; Chimaeriformes; Callorhinchidae.